Molecule: ribosomal RNA, 468 nt
Filed under: uncultured bacterium
Lineage: Bacteria
Description: partial 16S ribosomal RNA
Rfam family: Bacterial small subunit ribosomal RNA
Source: RNAcentral
GACGAACGCUGGCGGCGUGCCUAAUACAUGCAAGUCGAACGGACAGGCCCUGCUCUUGUGGCGUGCUCGUGUGCCGCACGGGUGAGUGUCACGCGUGUAUCCUGCCCUUGUCUUUGGGAUAUCUCCAGGAAACUGGGGCUCAUAUCGGAUAGGAGCUCCUGCUGCAUGGUGGGGGAUGGAAAGAUUCGGCGGUUGGGGAUGGACUCGCGGCUUAUCCGCUUGUUGGGGGGGUAGUGGCUUACCAAGGUUUUGACGGGUAGCCGGCCUGAGAGCGGGACCGGGCACAUGGGGACUGAGAGACGGCGCAGACGCCAACGGGAGGCAGCAGGCGGGAAUAUUGCACAAUGAGGGGAAGCCAGAGGCAGCAACGCCGCGAGCGGGAAGACGGCCUACGGGGGGUAAACCGCUGUGGCCUGAGACGAAGCGGUAUUGACGGUAAUGGGUAAGAAAGCACCGGCUAACUACGUG